GUUACACUGGCAGACUGCGCUGGGAAAGGUGCUGGACAUCGCUUCAUCCUGUUCUCCCUGGAUGAUCUCUGCCAGCUGGUCCAUUAAACAUUUAUGCAGAUAAUACCCUGGUGGCCUGCCUGUGAUCUCUGGACCUGCUGGAGUUGCAGGAGAGGACCCUACAGAAGCCUGGCAACAUUUUCCCAGGCAUCAAGAGAAAGGAGGACUAUUGCUCUCUCUCUUCCACAAAGUCUUGCUAUUCAAAGUGAGAUUGUGAAGCCAGGCAUAGCGGCUCACGCCUCUGAUCCACGCACUUUGGGAGGCUGUGGCGGAUGGAUCACUUGAGUCUGGAGUUGAGGCCAGCCUGGCCAAAAUGGUGAAACCCCAUCUCUACUAAAAAUACAAAAAAUUAGCCGGGCAUGGUGGCACACAUCUGUAAUCCCAGCUACUUGGGAGGCUGAGGCAGGAGAAUUCUUGAACCAGGGAAGUGGAGAUUGCACUGAGGUGAAAUCAUGUCACUGCACUCCAGCUUGGGUGACAGAGUAAGACUCUGUCUUAAAACAAAAACAAGAACAAAAAAAC
Molecule: long non-coding RNA, 561 nt
Filed under: Macaca mulatta (Rhesus monkey)
Lineage: Eukaryota; Metazoa; Chordata; Mammalia; Primates; Cercopithecidae
Description: lncRNA (ENSMMUG00000063738.1)
Source: RNAcentral